GUGAAUCAUCGAAUCUUUGAACGCAAAUUGCACUCUCUGGUAUUCCGGAGAGUAUGCCUGUUUGAGGUUCAGUUUAAAUAAAAAUCGUUGUGUUCGCUGCCUCCCUUGGUGACGCACCGGAUUUGGUUCUCCUUGCCUUCGGUUAAGGGACCUAAAAUUUGCCAGGAUUUUUUUCGAACGUAUUUAAUUAAUUUUACUUACGUUUAGGUUAUCAAAAA
RNAcentral lists this unclassified non-coding RNA (218 nucleotides) under Glomeraceae sp. Its description in RNAcentral is "partial contains 5.8S ribosomal RNA and internal transcribed spacer 2". The stretch from base 1 to 71 matches the Rfam family "5.8S ribosomal RNA", at positions 84 to 154 of the family's 154-position model. The record is from RNAcentral. Lineage: Eukaryota; Fungi; Glomeromycota; Glomeromycetes; Glomerales; Glomeraceae.